UCUGGUUGAUCCUGCCAGUAGUGAUAUGCUUGUUUCAAAGAUUAAGCCAUGCAUGUCUAAGUAUAAGCGAACUUAUACAGUGAAACUGCGGAUGGCUCAUUAAAACAGUUUGAAUUUAUUUGAUGAAUGUAUGAGAAUACUACUUGGAUAACCGUAGUAAUUCUAGAGCUAAUACAUGCAACGACGCCCGACCGUUUCACUACGGAAGGGCUGUAUUUAUUGGAUACCAAAACCAUCCUUCCCUCGGGAAGUUUUGUUUGAUGAUUCACAAUAACUGAUCGGAUCGCCACUGUGGUGGCGACAGGUCAUUCAACAUCCUGCCCUAUCAGCUUUCGAUGGUUGUGUAGUGGACAACCAUGGCCAUAACGGGUAACGGAGAAUCAGGGUUCGAUUCCGGAGAAGGAGCUUGAGAAUUGGCUACUACAUCUAAGGAAGGCAGCAGGCGCGCAAAUUACCCAAUCCCGAUUCGGGGAGGUAGUGACAAAAAAUAACAAUACCGGGCCUUUUUGGGCUUGGUAAUUGGAAUGAGGGAGAGUUAAACGGACCAUCGAGUAUCCAUUGGAGGGCAAGUCUGGUGCCAGCAGCUGCGGUAAUACCAGCUCCAAUAGCGUAUAUUAAAGUUGUUGCAGUUAAAAAGCUCGUAGUUGGACUUGUGUGCGCUGUCCGCGGGUGCCUGCGCCCAAAAGGGCGUUUCGGUUCGGCCCCGGUGGCGCCUUGAAAUCUGCAGCUGGGGGGACGUUGGCCUUAACUGGCCGGCGACCGCACGCCGGCUGCUCGGUUACUGUGAGAAAAUUAGAGUGUUCAAGGCAGGCAUUGGGUGCAAUUGAAUACAUUAGCAUGGAAUAAUAAAAUAUGGCUCCUGCCGUAUUUUGUUGGUUUUGACUGGUGGGAGUAAUGAUUGAUAGGGACGGUUGGGGGUGCUAGUAUUGAGCGGCCAGAGGUGAAAUUCAUGGAUUCGCUCAAGACUAACUUAUGCGAAAGCAUUCACCAAGGACGUCCUCUUUAAUCAAGAACGAAAGUUGGGGGAUCGAAGACGAUCAGAUACCGUCGUAGUCUCAACCAUAAACUAUGUCGACUUGGGAUCGGCGGUAGUUUUUUCAUUAAGACACUGUCGGGACCACGGGAGAAAUCAAAGUGUCUGGACUCUGGGGGAAGUAUGGUCGCAAGGCUGAAACUUGAAGGAAUUGACGGAAGGGCACCACCAGGAGUGGAGCCU
RNAcentral lists this ribosomal RNA (1216 nucleotides) under metagenome. RNAcentral describes it as "SSU rRNA". It matches the Rfam family "Eukaryotic small subunit ribosomal RNA", at positions 1 to 1184 of the family's 1831-position model. The record is from RNAcentral.